RNAcentral lists this ribosomal RNA (468 nucleotides) under uncultured bacterium. Its description in RNAcentral is "partial 16S ribosomal RNA". It matches the Rfam family "Bacterial small subunit ribosomal RNA", at positions 28 to 507 of the family's 1533-position model. The record is from RNAcentral.
GAUGAACGCUGGCGGCGUGCUUAACACAUGCAAGUCGAACGGAAAGGCCCUGCUUUUGUGGGUUGCUCGAGUGGCGAACGCGUGAGUAUCACGCGUGUAACCUGCCCCUGACAUUGGGAUAACUCCUGUAAACAGGGGCUAAUAUCGGAUAGAAGCUCCUGCUGCGUGGUGUGCGUUGGAUAGUUUCGGCGGUUUGGGAUGGACUCGCGGCUUACGAGCUUGUUGGUGGGGUGGUCGCUUACCAAGGGUUUGGCGGGUAGCCGGCCUGAGAGGGGGACCGGGAACCUGUGGACUGAGCUACGGCCCAGACUAGUACGGGAGACAGCAGUGGGGAAUAGUGCACAAUGGGGGCAAGUCUGAUGAAGCAACGCCGCGUGCGGGAUGGUGGCCUUCUGGUUGAAAACCACUAUGUCCGGUACCGAUGCCUGAUUGACGGUACUGGAUAAAUAAGCACCGGCUAACUACGUG